AUCUUUAUAUACUUGUUCACCGCUUGACAGAAAAGACACAAAUUGCAACAGGAUCAUAGGCUCGUUUUGAAAAGAUUGACAGAUGGCUAAUUUGGGUGUUUAAGAAAUUAAUCCCCAUUUUUGUUUAUGGACAUUGUAUAUGUUAGCAUCGUUAACCCGAAUAAUUCAGUCGUUAUAUUCCGCUUACUACAUUAACUCUCACAAGUAGGAGAGAUCGAUUACGGGGAGGGACUGAAUUAUUCGGGUUUAAUAUGUGCUGAUGUGUGCCAUAUUGUUACUCACUUACUGCUUACUGUUACUGUUAACAACUAUAUAUUAUCUUCCAUAUUGAUACCUUUUAGGUUUCCCCGGG
This 352-nucleotide long non-coding RNA is filed under the name Mytilus galloprovincialis (Mediterranean mussel). Lineage: Eukaryota; Metazoa; Mollusca; Bivalvia; Mytilida; Mytilidae. The record is from RNAcentral.